GGGGGGGGUAAUCACACAGAUCUUUCAUAUCUCAGUUGCAAAAGGCAGAGGAAGACUCAAGCUGAAGAGAUAUCUGCUGAUGUCAACGGCUUCAGGGAGAGCUUUUCACCUAAAAGGGACACACAAAGAACAGGAUCUUACCCAAGAUAGCUCAUCGCAUUUAGUCAUCAUGUUCCCUAGUUUCCUCUCCACUGCGACUGUUUCUCAGACUUCCUGUUUGUGACGACCUUGACGAUUUUGACGAAUACCAGUUGGGUGUUUUGCAGAAUGCCUAUCACCGAUGAGGUUCCCUUUGGUCACCUGGCUGAACUUGUCAGGUUUCUCCACUAUAAGGUCACGCUUUUUCCCCCCUUUUCAUACUGUACUCUCGGAAAGGACGUCACUGUACAAACCCACUGGAAAGGGGUGGGCAGUUACGCACCAUCCCCUUGAGGGAGGAAUACACAUGUACAUUGUUUGCAAUUCUGUGCUUCUGGAAGAUUUGUCUCUUCUCCCCCAUUUAUUUAUUUGUUUGUUUGCUUAAUCAUGUAUCAUAUAGACACAUGUAUAUCUAAGUAUGGACUCACAGAUACUUUACUUUGGUUAUAAUCUUUUCUAAAAAUUUCAUUUAUAAUCUAAUACUACUUUACUGUGUUGCUGCAAGUGUUCCGACGUCCACAAUUUGGAGAUUCUUCUGUUGGUUCAUUUGUCCCUUUCAACCUAUUUAUUUUUAAAAAUUUAUUUGUUUGAGGGUGCGGAGGGGCCGAAGGAAAGAGACAAGCCGACACCCCACUGAGCGAAGGGAAGUCCCUCACGGGGGCUCGGUCCCAGGCCCCUGAGAUCACAACCUGAGCCGAAGUCAGAUGCUUAACUGACAGCCACCCAGGUGCCCCCUCAACCUAUUUUCAAGAGAAAUGAUGUUAUUCUUUGAUCUUUGUCUCUUGCUUUUCCUACUUCAAGUACUUGCAUAUCUAAAGUUUCAGUGUUGAUGAAUAAUGUGGAGUUCAAGGUGAUGCUCCACAGUCAGGAACACCAAGGCAUUUUACUUCAAACCAAUUCAAAGAUCCAGUAAGAUAAUCUCUCUGGGGUUAAAAAAAAAACAUAAUAAGUUCAGUUGUCAGGAUUCAUUAUGUAUGUGUGGGUUUAUAUUUUGCCCAACCCGUCUCGUGUAUUUACUUAAAUAAACAGGGUUGAAGUGGU
Mustela lutreola (European mink) is the source of this 1179-nucleotide long non-coding RNA. RefSeq lists it as uncharacterized. The transcript is spliced from 2 exons. NCBI's taxonomy places the organism in Eukaryota, Metazoa, Chordata, Mammalia, Carnivora, Mustelidae. The record is from RefSeq and is a predicted model, not a curated record.